RNAcentral lists this ribosomal RNA (497 nucleotides) under uncultured bacterium. RNAcentral's name for it is "partial 16S ribosomal RNA". It matches the Rfam family "Bacterial small subunit ribosomal RNA", at positions 28 to 507 of the family's 1533-position model. The record is from RNAcentral.
GAUGAACGCUGGCGGCGUGCCUAAUACAUGCAAGUCGAGCGAACAGAUGAGGAGCUUGCUCCUCUGACGUUAGCGGCGGACGGGUGAGUAACACGUGGAUAACCUACCUAUAAGACUGGGAUAACUUCGGGAAACCGGAGCUAAUACCGGAUAAUAUAUUGAACCGCAUGGUUCAAUAGUUAAAGACGGUUUUGCUGUCACUUAUAGAUGGAUCCGCGCCGAAUUAGCUAGUUGGUAAGGUAACGGCUUACCAAGGCAACGAUGCGUAGCCGACCUGAGAGGGUGAUCGGCCACACUGGAACUGAGACACGGUCCAGACUCCUACGGGAGGAAGCAGUAGGGAAUCUUCCGCAAUGGGCGAAAGCCUGACGGAGCAACGCCGCGUGAGUGAUGAAGGUCUUCGGAUCGUAAAACUCUGUUAUUAGGGAAGAACAAAUGUGUAAGUAACUAUGCACGUCUUGACGGUACCUAAUCAGAAAGCCACGGCUAACUACGUG